RNAcentral lists this ribosomal RNA (462 nucleotides) under uncultured bacterium. RNAcentral describes it as "SSU rRNA". It matches the Rfam family "Bacterial small subunit ribosomal RNA", at positions 26 to 518 of the family's 1533-position model. The record is from RNAcentral.
AGAAUCAACGCUGGCGGCGUGCCUAACACAUGCAAGUCGAACGAGAAAGUGGAGCAAUCCAUGAGUAAAGUGGCGACCGGGUGAGUAACACGUGACUAACCUACCUUCGAGUGGGGGAUAACCUCGGGAAACCGAGGCUAAUACCGCAUAACAUCGUGAGAUCAAAGCAGUAAUGCGCUGGAAGAGGGGGUCGCGGCUGAUUAGCUAGUUGGCGGGGUAAUGGCCCACCAAGGCGAAGAUCGGUAGCCGGCCUGAGAGGGCGCACGGCCGACACUGGAACUGAAACACGGUCCAGACUCCUACGGGAGGCAGCAGUGGGGAAUUUUGCGCAAUGGGGGAAACCCUGACGCAGCAACGCCGCGUGGAGGAUGAAGUCCCUUGGGACGUAAACUCCUUUCGACCAAGACGAUAAUGACGGUACUGGUGGAAGAAGCAACCGGCUAACUCUGUGCCAGCAGCCGC